This 255-nucleotide ribosomal RNA is filed under the name uncultured bacterium. RNAcentral's name for it is "partial 16S ribosomal RNA". It matches the Rfam family "Bacterial small subunit ribosomal RNA", at positions 524 to 776 of the family's 1533-position model. The record is from RNAcentral.
UACGUAGGGGGGCAAGCGUUGUCCGGAUUUAUUGGGCGUAAAGAGCGUGUAGGCGGCCAUGUAGGUCCGUUGUGAAAACUCGAUGCUCAACCUCGAGACGCCGAUGGAAACCAUGUGGCUAGAGUCCGGGAAGAGGAGAGUGGAAUUCCUGGUGUAGCGGUGAAAUGCGUAGAAAUCUGGAGGAAUACCGGUGGCGAAGGCGGCCCCCUGGACAAAGACUGACGCUCAGGUGCGAAAGCGUGGGGAGCAAACAGG